RNAcentral lists this ribosomal RNA (470 nucleotides) under uncultured bacterium. Its description in RNAcentral is "partial 16S ribosomal RNA". It matches the Rfam family "Bacterial small subunit ribosomal RNA", at positions 29 to 507 of the family's 1533-position model. The record is from RNAcentral.
ACGAACGCUGGCGGCGUGCUUAACACAUGCAAGUCGGACGAUGAAGCCUAGCAUGCUAGGUGGAUUAGUGGCGAACGGGUGAGUAAUACGUGAGUAACCUACCUUUAACUCUGGGAUAAGCCUGGGAAACUGGGUCUAAUACCGGAUACGACCAAUCUCCGCAUGGGGUGUUGGUGGAAAGCAUUAUGUAGUGGUUAUAGAUGGGCUCACGGCCUAUCAGCUUGUUGGUGAGGUAACGGCUCACCAAGGCGACGACGGGUAGCCGGCCUGAGAGGGUGACCGGCCACACUGGGACUGAGACACGGCCCAGACUCCUACGGGAGGCAGCAGUGGGGAAUAUUGCACAAUGGGCGCAAGCCUGAUGCAGCGACGCCGCGUGAGGGAUGACGGCCUUCGGGUUGUAAACCUCUGUUAGCAGGGAAGAAGAGAGAUUGACGGUACCUGCAGAGAAAGCGCCGGCUAACUACGUG